Molecule: transfer RNA, 61 nt
Filed under: Klebsiella pneumoniae
Lineage: Bacteria; Pseudomonadati; Pseudomonadota; Gammaproteobacteria; Enterobacterales; Enterobacteriaceae
Also listed under: 1 other name
Description: tRNA-Gln
Rfam family: tRNA
About the family: Transfer RNA (tRNA) molecules are approximately 80 nucleotides in length. Their secondary structure includes four short double-helical elements and three loops (D, anti-codon, and T loops). Further hydrogen bonds mediate the characteristic L-shaped molecular structure. tRNAs have two regions of fundamental functional importance: the anti-codon, which is responsible for specific mRNA codon recognition, and the 3' end, to which the tRNAs corresponding amino acid is attached (by aminoacyl-tRNA synthetases). tRNAs cope with the degeneracy of the genetic code in two manners: having more than one tRNA (with a specific anti-codon) for a particular amino acid; and 'wobble' base-pairing, i.e. permitting non-standard base-pairing at the 3rd anti-codon position.
Source: RNAcentral
GGGUAUCGCCAAGCGGUAAGGCACCGGUUUUUGAUACCGGCAUUCCCUGGUUCGAAUCCAG